CUCUUGUUUACUUUUGAAGGAUAAUUUCACUGCAUAGGAUUCUAAGUGCUGCCACUGGCCCUACCACUCUGGGACUCUAUCAUUACCACUGAAAACAAGGAGCGCAUUUCAACAGUGGUAUCUUUUACCAUCAUCUCAUAUAGGCAGACACAGAAAAUACAGGCUUUUUAAGAAUACUACUGCUCCUCUUAGCAAUGGAUUUCUUAAGGUUAAGAUGAAGUGAUUGUCCUCGGGGACUUCCUGAGGGAUAUAAUGAAAGGGUUGAAGAGUAUAUUGCACAUGAUGAAACCAUCCCAACAUUCCUAUCUCAUCAAGCCUUCCUUUCUUCUCUGUUAUGGCAAGAAAGUUUUAGUAUAUUAAUCUAAUCUAAUGAAGGCCAUUGUUGAGUCUGGUUUCAGUCAAUCAGCUCAGCAAACUCUUAGAGCCACUUCUGACUGAUACACUGAAUCCAGAAUCUCUGAUGCUACUAACAUAUCAGUAAUUUCAAUAUUAUUUUCCUUGGUCUAGAACACACUCCUACUCAGUACUGACCCAAUCCUCCAGUACUGACAUACAUUAACAAUAUCUUGCCAUUGUUUCCCUGUGUAGGCUUUUCCUCUAGUGUCAGGCAUCUUACUCAUCUUCCCAGGGCAUGCUGAGAUCUGAGUCUUGUGGAUCUAGAGGCUCUCUUAAGAUUCAUUUAGAAAACGUGGAGUAUUUCAAACAGAGGAGGAUUAAAAUACCAGGAAUAGGUGUGGAAGAAUUGCAAGAGCAAAAAACUGAGUAGAUAGAACACCACUAUCUUCAGGUAAACCCCUGAAGUUCAAUGAGAAAUUUCUGCUGCCUCCUAUGUUGGAAAACCAAAGGACAUUUCCACUGAGGGACACAGCUACCCUGCUGUACCAGUGUGGGUGGCUGGUAAGGAAGCACUCCAUGUCUGCUGUCAGAGAAAUAAGAAAAUGAUUUCUGCUUUAUCCCAUUUUCUAGUUCUCACACAAGUCUAUCUUGCUGAUAGAAGAUUGAUAAUGUACAGAACCCU
This is a long non-coding RNA of Mustela erminea (ermine), 1018 nucleotides long. RefSeq lists it as uncharacterized. NCBI's taxonomy places the organism in Eukaryota, Metazoa, Chordata, Mammalia, Carnivora, Mustelidae. The record is from RefSeq and is a predicted model, not a curated record. The transcript has 3 exons.